RNAcentral lists this ribosomal RNA (507 nucleotides) under uncultured bacterium. Its description in RNAcentral is "bacterial SSU rRNA". It matches the Rfam family "Bacterial small subunit ribosomal RNA", at positions 29 to 513 of the family's 1533-position model. The record is from RNAcentral.
AGCGAACGUUAGCGGCGGGCCUAACACAUGCAAGUCGAACGCGAAAGGUCUUCGGACUGAGUAGAGUGGCGCACGGGUGAGUAACACGUAGGUAAUCUACCCUUUGGCGGGGGAUAACGUUCCGAAAGGAGCGCUAAUACCGCAUAAGACCACGGAGUCUCCGGACGCUGUGGGAAAAGGUGGCCUCUUCUUGAAAGCUAUCACCGAAGGAUGAGCCUGCGUCCCAUCAGCUAGUUGGUAAGGUAAUGGCUUACCAAGGCGAAGACGGGUAGCUGGUUUGAGAGAAUGAUCAGCCACACUGGCACUGGAACACGGGCCAGACUCCUACGGGAGGCAGCAGUGAGGAAUAUUGGGCAAUGGGCGAAAGCCUGACCCAGCCACGCCGCGUGAGUGAUGAAGGCCCUCGGGUCGUAAAGCUCUGUGGAGAGGGACGAAAACCCUGGUUUCAAAUAGGCUCCAGGCUUGACGGUACCUCUUUAGCAAGCACCGGCUAACUCUGUGCCAGCA